UAAACGGUCAUGAAAUAUACAAAUAAAAAAACCGAAGCCGAUUUCAUUUCAAGACUGGGGCAUUUUAUUUCUUCACUUCAGAAUCUCUCUCCCAAAUACCCAAAUUCGACCUUCCAUCACUCUUUUCAUUUCUCUCCAGAAUCGACAUUCAUGCAAAAUAUAAUCUUAGCCAAGAUUGAUUGUUGCCUACUUCGUAACCAUCACAACUUUGGGAUUGUUGUGCCGUCUCAGCAGCCACUGAGUUGAAUCCCAUCGUUGAUGCACUAAUGCAUACUCAGUUCACUGCCUAGGUCAGCCCCAUUUGCCAUUUUGAUUUAUUUAUAAUCAAAUUGACACAUUAUCAGCUCCUUCAUUGAAAGCCCUCUACUUUCCACAUACAUUAUUGGAGAGGAAUUUGAAGAAUUUUAUUUAUGAGCAGGUUUAUUGGAGAGGAAUUCUCUCCACAUACAUUAUUGGAGAGGAAUUCUCUCUCUCUCUCUCUCUCUCUCUCUCUGUAAUUUUCAUUUUAUUACUUAUAAAUCUCAUUAAUUUGAUUGGGCAGGUUUCAUGGUUUUGUAACCUAGCAUUGGAUGACUCUAAACAUGGCUACUUCUCUCAGAGAUUAUUGGUGUGCUUGAGAUCGGUAUUGAGUUCAAUCAUCUACCAGGUUUAUUUCAGUUCCUAUAUUUUGUUUUAAAAUAUUUCAUUGCUAUGUAAUUUUAUGGUGUGGGUUUUAUGAAAUUGAUGUUUAAUUCAGCAAACUCUAUUUCCUUUUGAGUAUUUAGUCCCAUGACUGGCACGUUGUAAGUAGAGAACCUUGAAAGGGCCAUAACAUUUAUCUUUUUUGUUGUUUUUUUAACUUUGUUUUGAUAUAAUAAAAGUAUUCCUUCCUCUCAAACUCAAUUGAGCGGGUUUAAUUGUUCUUUUCUUAUAGUGAAGUUUUGAGAAGCUUUGAUUGCCACUGAUUUAUGAAGAAAACAACAACUCUAAAAUUGUUCUGCUGUUGUCAUGUUGCUAUAUGCUGUUAAAAACAGCACAUGGAACUUCCAAGUACUGAUUUUAGUAACUGGACAGCAUCCGUAAAAGUUUUUGGGUGCCGUCAUGCAGCUGUUUGUUAAAAACAGCACCUGGGAGUUCCAGAUGCUGUUUUUAUUAGCUAGACAGCAACAAAAACAUUUUUAGGUCCUGUCAUACUGUUGUUUGAGGUUAAAAACAGCACUCAAAAGUUGCAGUUGCUGUUUUUAACACAAUUUCAGCAGCUAGGCAGCACCCAGAAAAUAUUGUCAUGCUGUUGUUUGCUGCUAAAAACAGCACCUAAAAGUUUCAACUGCUGUUUUUAUCAGCUAGACAGCACCUAAAAAUUUUUUGGGUGCUGUCAUACUUCUGUUUUAACACAAUUUCAGUAGCUAGACAACACCCAAACUACUUUAGGGUGCUGUCAUGCUGCUGUUUGAUGUUAAAAAUAGCACUUGAAAGUUGCAGGUGCUGUUUUUACUAAUACUUCAACAGUUAGGCAGCACCCAAAAAAUAAUCUGGGUGCUGUCCUGCUGCUGUUUACUGUUAAAAAUAGCACCUGAAAGUUUCAGGUGCUGUUUUUAUCAGCUAGAGAGCACCUAAAAUAAACUUGGGUGUUGUCAUGCUGCCAUGAUAUAAGAUAUUUGGAAUUUUACAAUUGUAAAUAUUUUGCAUGCUGAUGUGUUAUUGAUAACAAGGCUUAUCUAUUUUGUUUUUUCUUGAUAACUUUGCUUUUUCCCAUUUGGGGUUCCUUUGAUAAUUUUCCAUGGUUGUUGAAUCAUCUAUUUACUAUGUUCGUAUUUAAAAAUUCAAUUUACUGUAUUUUUCAUUGAGCUAGAACAACAAUGGAUAAUUCCAAGGGUUGUUUUCUGUCAAUUUGCUGUCAAAAUAGCUGCUAAAAGUUCACAACAGCUGUUUUGCUGCUUUUCUACAGUGAAACAGCCCUUAGUAAUUUGCAGGGGCUGUUUUCACUACAAAACAGCAGCAAAACAGCCCCUACAGAUUUCUAUAAGCUGUUUUCACUGCAGAACAGCUGCAAAACAGCCGCUGGAAAUGUGCAGGUGUUGAUUAGUUGCUGUUCUACAGUUAAAAGGCUCGUAGAAAUUUUUUUAGUCUAUUUUGAAUUGAAAAUAUUUUUGAAGAUUGUUGAGGAAGGAGGGGAAUGAGAGCAGUAGUUUUUUUGAAGGCUUGAUGAUGAGUUUGAUAAAUUUGACAAGUUUUACGGGACUAAAGUGAAAGAAAAUUAUGCUUAGGUUGAAAGUUUGAGUGCAAAUGGAUGCUUUGAUUGCUUUCAAGAUAAAAACUGAGAAAUUGGAAGGAGUUAUUUAGGAUUCUAUACAAUUUGAUCCUAAAGAACAAAAGCAUGAAAGCAAGGUGAUUUUUAAACUUGCUGUUGAUUAUUGCUUUCCUUGUUUAUUAGUUCUAUCAGUAAUAUGACUUUGUUAAUGCAGAUUAUGUAGAAGACAACAAGGCAACUGCAUAUUUUGACGCCAAUUGUCUCAUCUUCUUUGCGGAUAAGUUAAAUGAUUUGACAAAAUACAAGCUGUAUCAGGUGACUUUUGCAGUUUGUGCUUUAAUUGUCUAUAUGGCAUUACAACUAUACUACUCAACAUUCACAUCUACAAUGGUCAUAUAUUUAUGUAUCUACAAUCCAUUCUCAUGUUUCUUGCUUUAGAAUAUGAGUUCUGAAAAUAUUUUUAGAUAUACACUCAUAUUAGUGUACCUAUAAUCUUCUAACUGUUUAGCUUGUAGUGUAUACGUGUUAAUGCUCUUGGACUACUAAAUUGGGAUACUAUAUUAAAUUAAUAUAGUACAAGCAUAUGAAUGUUUGCAAACGUAAUAAAUUAACUCUUUCAAAAUUUUAGUUUAGCAUAUGGUGGUGAUUUUUAGGAUCUUUCUAAUCAUAUAUUCUUUCAAAAUUCUGUAAGUCAAGAAUUUACAAUUAAGUUUGGUGACAUUCAUUGACUUGAUGGGCCAUAUGAAGAGGUUAAAUUCCUAGACCUUUAAAUUUAGGUCCAUCCCUUUAAUUUAUUUACACUUUUUGACACUUUAUAUUAAUUUGAUAGCAAUAAUUCAUUUAGUGCUUGUUGAAAGAAACCAUGGGAAGACUAAAUGCUUAUUUUAUGAUUUUUAUAGUUAAUUUAUUAAAAUGUCAAGAAAUGAGAAGUUCAAGCAUUUAAAUUUAAUUUACUUGACAUAUGAUCAGCUUGUUUGAACUCUCUUCAUCGCUUAAAUUAAAAUUACGUUGAGGCUAAUUACUUGAACUAUUAUUUUUGUUUUAUAUGGUGCCUAGAAUUGGUUUUGCUACUGUAUUACAAAGAAAACAACACUCAAAACAUGUUUCUUUUUAUUUUCUUUUUUAUUUCGUUACUUCUUUGCUCUUUAUCUUCUUGCUAAUUGUUUUUCUGGUUUGUUUUUGUGUUUUUUCCUUUGGUUAUAACCAGAUAUAAUUUUUCAAGGCAGCAAGCAAGCAUGUUAUUGAGUUAAAGAUAUCUUGAAGAGAUAAAAGGAAUGAUCAAAUCUUUUUGUAUAACUAACUUUUGAUAUGAAACAUUUGUAGAACGUACAAUUGUAAAAGAAUUAUGGAUACUAUAAUUGAAAUUUGGGCUUGAAAUGAUCAUUGUAAAUUUUUUUUUUUAAAUUAACAUGCUAAAGAUGACGGUUAUUAUGUAAGAACCGUCAUUAAAAUCACAUUUAAUGACAAUUUUUUGGAA
RNAcentral lists this long non-coding RNA (3707 nucleotides) under Citrus maxima (pomelo). RNAcentral describes it as "long non-coding RNA (CMAX_LNC000579)". Lineage: Eukaryota; Viridiplantae; Streptophyta; Magnoliopsida; Sapindales; Rutaceae. The record is from RNAcentral.